RNAcentral lists this small RNA (18 nucleotides) under Arabidopsis thaliana (thale cress). RNAcentral describes it as "ATSL180810". The record is from RNAcentral. Lineage: Eukaryota; Viridiplantae; Streptophyta; Magnoliopsida; Brassicales; Brassicaceae.
AGAAAGGGGACAAGGCAA